GGAGGGAUGCGUGAGCGGUCGAAACGGGCGGUCUUGAAAACCGCUGUACCCGAAAGGGUACCGGGGGUUCGAAUCCCUCUCCCUCCGCCA
Molecule: transfer RNA, 90 nt
Filed under: Acidobacteriota bacterium
Lineage: Bacteria; Pseudomonadati; Acidobacteriota
Also listed under: 2 other names
Description: Acidobacteria bacterium tRNA-Ser
Rfam family: tRNA
About the family: Transfer RNA (tRNA) molecules are approximately 80 nucleotides in length. Their secondary structure includes four short double-helical elements and three loops (D, anti-codon, and T loops). Further hydrogen bonds mediate the characteristic L-shaped molecular structure. tRNAs have two regions of fundamental functional importance: the anti-codon, which is responsible for specific mRNA codon recognition, and the 3' end, to which the tRNAs corresponding amino acid is attached (by aminoacyl-tRNA synthetases). tRNAs cope with the degeneracy of the genetic code in two manners: having more than one tRNA (with a specific anti-codon) for a particular amino acid; and 'wobble' base-pairing, i.e. permitting non-standard base-pairing at the 3rd anti-codon position.
Source: RNAcentral